CCGCUGGCCGCCGGGAACUGAAGUCAUAAGCUGGGAGAAAGCCUGGCCUCGGAAGCCUACAUAUCACAGAAGACACCGCGCUACCGAUUCUGGCAGUUUGGAUUGGCUAAUUUGGAAUCGGGGGCGGGGCCUCGCCCCUACCCACACCGAAUGGGUUAAAUAGGUUUUGGUGUGGUACCUCAAGGUUGUGGAGGAAGUUUAACUUAUAUUAACGUAGUUAGGCCUGUGGAUGCUUCAUCAGGCCAGGUUCUGGAAUCGCUGAAAUCCAAAGAAGGUUUCUUUUUGUUACGUGCCUCGCUCCUGUUUCCCAGCCGAUCGUGGGAUGAGGAAACUGAAGGGUAAAAAAAGAAUGUUAAAUGUCUUGCUCAAGAUCACACAGUAAAUGACAGCUGCCUCUUGAACCCAGGGACUUCCCUGGUGCGAAGUGGUUAAGAAUCUGCCUGCCAGUGCAGGGGACACGGGUUCAAGCUCUGGUCCGGGAAGAUCCCACAUGCCACGGAGCAGCUAAGCCUGUGCACCACAACUACUGAGCCUGCGCUCUAGAGCCCACGAGCCACAACUACUGAAGCCCGCGUGCCUAGAGCCCGUGCUCCGCAACAAAAGAAGACACCGCAAUGAGAAGCCCGCACACCACAACGAAAAGUAGACCCUGCUCGCUGCAACUAGAGAAAGCCCGCGCGCAGCAACGAAGACCCAAUGCAGCCAAAAAUCAAUAAAUUAAAAAAAAUAUAAACAAAACUGAAGCUGCUACAAAAUUAUAUUACCAAGGGCAGAUCAGUUAGUUUCUCAAAGACUUAUUUUCCCAAGCUGGUAAGCUUCUAAUGAGUUAAUCUAUAAGCAGCUAAUGAACUAUAUUAUGGAGUUGCCCAAGACCCAAUUUUACCCAAGUUACAAUAUUAAAUGAAGUGUAGCAAAUUCGAAACCUUAUGAUUUUGGAGCACAUAUUGGUUUUCUAUUGCUGCUAUAAAAAAUUGCCACAAACAGUAGCUUAAAGCAACACAAAUUUAUUGUCUGAGAGUUCUGAAGGUUAGAAGUCUAAAGUCAUCUGCAGGACAGAGUUUCUUACAGAGGCUGUAGGGGAGAAUCCAUUUCCUUGACUUUCCCAGCUUCUCUGUGCUGCCUGUAUUCAUUGACUCAUGGCCCCGUGUCGCUGUGACCUUUGCUUCCAUGGUCACAUCUCUCUCUCGGAUACUCCUGUCUCUCUCUUAUAAAGACCCUUGUGAAUACAUUGGGCCCACAAGAUAAUAUUUCCAGCUCAAGAUUCUUAAUUGAAUCAUAGUAGCAAAGUCCCUUUUGGCAUGAAAAGUAAUAUAUUUACAGGUUUCAGGGACUAGGAUUUGGCUAUCUUUUAUUCUAUCUACCACAAAGCAUGUAUCUAAAUUUGAGUCUGUGCUUCUCCAGUUAAGAAUUUGAAAUUACUUAAUUCAUGAGCAUCAUCUUCUAAUCUGUAAAAUGAGGGAAAGAAUAAUUUCCAUAUAGGGUGGUGAUGAGGAUAAUAAACUACAUGAAAUGUCUACAGUUCAAUGUCAGGCACUUAAAAAACAGAACAGUAACUGGCACAUAGGGAAUAUUUAGAAGUUAGCAAUCAUAAUAUUACUGAGGCAAAUAAUUUGCAUUGUUAUUAUGUAUAUCUGUUUUUUGGAACCUACUUGAGACUGAGGGGUGAGGGAAGCUAAUGUUUCUUUAACUUAUC
Molecule: long non-coding RNA, 1693 nt
Organism: Orcinus orca (killer whale)
Lineage: Eukaryota; Metazoa; Chordata; Mammalia; Artiodactyla; Delphinidae
Exons: 3
Source: RefSeq, a predicted model, not a curated record